Non-coding RNA from Pelobates cultripes (western spadefoot toad), 236 nucleotides. Lineage: Eukaryota; Metazoa; Chordata; Amphibia; Anura; Pelobatidae. The record is from the annotation of a GenBank genome assembly.
GAGUUAGGGAGGGGGUGACUAGGGACAGAGUGAGGGAGGGGGUGACUAGGGACAGAGUGAGGGAGGUGGUUACUAGUGACAGAGGGAGGGAUGGGGUGACUAGUGACAGUCACCACCUCCCUCACUCUGUCACUAGUCACCACCUCCAUCACUCUAUCACUGUGUCACUCCCUCCCUCACUCUGUCACCAGUCAUCCCCUCACUCUUUCACUAGUCACCCCUUCCUUCCCUCACUC